This 328-nucleotide long non-coding RNA is filed under the name Elaeis guineensis (African oil palm). RNAcentral's name for it is "long non-coding RNA (EGUI_LNC018607)". Lineage: Eukaryota; Viridiplantae; Streptophyta; Magnoliopsida; Arecales; Arecaceae. The record is from RNAcentral.
GAUUUCACCGUAGAUACAUGGAGAUAUUAAUGAGAGAGAGGGAACUGGAGGCAGAAGUCGAAAGUUUAAGGUGCUCCCUGGCGAGGGUCGAAGCCGAAAGUUCGAGGUCGGAGGAAGCCGGGCCCCCUUAGGGCUCUUUUUGCCUUCCGUCUUCCCAUGCAUAUAUUAUUUCUUUUGUUGUUUUGUCUUGUUCUUGUUGUUUUGCUUUUCUUCCUUUAGCCUGUCGGGCUUUGUAGUGUAUAUUUUGUGAAUGAAAUGAAAAGGAGAUUUUGUGUUACCUCAUCCACGUAUUGCAUUAAAUUAUCGUCCGCCGAACUUCUUUUGUCUU